ACAUUUGCAGCGAAUUUUGGUUUCGUUCAAUUUUAAUUGUUCGGAUUAAAAGGGAAUCAAGUGCAUUGACUUACGAUUUAUUUCAUUUAAAAAUAAUCGUAACUCUUUAAUUCUUGAGCUGUUCCCGCAACUGUAAGUUUAUGCUUAACAUAUUUAUUUGUAAAUAUUUAAUGUAAGUACUCUAUAGAGGAGGUGUUAUUAACUUCAAAACCACUGGUAAAUUACUGGGAAGGUGAAAUAACAUAAAACAAGCCAGGAGACCUGCCAAUAUUCAUCAUAUAAA
Molecule: non-coding RNA, 283 nt
Filed under: Flavivirga aquatica
Lineage: Bacteria; Pseudomonadati; Bacteroidota; Flavobacteriia; Flavobacteriales; Flavobacteriaceae
Also listed under: 1 other name
Source: RNAcentral